UCCGUCCGGGUCCGUGGUUGCGUCAUCCGGUCAGGUGCGCGUGCGCACCACCUCGGAGGACAAGCCGAUGCCAGUCGCAGGCAAAACGGCCCACGUAAGGCUGGAGACAGCCGAUCACGGUGCGGCUUAGAAGUAAGACCUGCCUCGGCACCGCCGUCAGAUACGGCGAGCGUCGGGAGAGGGCCGGUAGUGGCAUCCAAGCUGCGAAAGCUCCAGCAGGCGAUUGUGGGGUCGAAGACCAGGUCGGCCGGGCGGG
RNAcentral lists this non-coding RNA (256 nucleotides) under Nocardioides sp. CF8. RNAcentral describes it as "raiA RNA". It matches the Rfam family "raiA RNA". Lineage: Bacteria; Bacillati; Actinomycetota; Actinomycetes; Propionibacteriales; Nocardioidaceae. The record is from Rfam by way of RNAcentral.